Molecule: ribosomal RNA, 253 nt
Filed under: uncultured bacterium
Lineage: Bacteria
Description: partial 16S ribosomal RNA
Rfam family: Bacterial small subunit ribosomal RNA
Source: RNAcentral
UACGUAGGUGGCAAGCGUUGUCCGGAUUUACUGGGUGUAAAGGGCGUGCAGCCGGAGAGACAAGUCAGAUGUGAAAUCCACGGGCUCAACCCGUGAACUGCAUUUGAGACUGUUUCCCUUGAGUGUCGGAGAGGUAAUCGGAAUUCCUUGUGUAGCGGUGAAAUGCGUAGAUAUAAGGAAGAACACCAGUGGCGAAGGCGGAUUACUGGACGAUAACUGACGGUGAGGCGCGAAAGCGUGGGGAGCAAACAGG